CGGGCACUGGCUUCCUAUCGGUGCUUAGAUGGCAUAUGAAAUCGUUCUAGCACCAUUCGAAAUCAGUACCCG
This is a non-coding RNA of Anopheles christyi, 72 nucleotides long. NCBI's taxonomy places the organism in Eukaryota, Metazoa, Arthropoda, Insecta, Diptera, Culicidae. The record is from Rfam.